This 560-nucleotide ribosomal RNA is filed under the name uncultured bacterium. RNAcentral's name for it is "bacterial SSU rRNA". It matches the Rfam family "Bacterial small subunit ribosomal RNA", at positions 777 to 1344 of the family's 1533-position model. The record is from RNAcentral.
AAUAGAUACCCCCGGUAGUCCACGCCGUAAACGAUGGAUGCUAGCUAUUGGGGGGAAUCGACCCCCUCCGAAGCGAAGCUAACGCGUUAAGCAUCCCGCCUGAGUAGUACGAGCGCAAGCUUAAAACUCAAAGGAAUUGACGGGGACCCGCACAAGCGGUGGAGCGUGUGGUUUAAUUCGAUGGUAAACGAAGAACCUUACCAAGGUUUGACAUCCCGGUAGCCGUUCUCCGAAAGGAGAAUUUCAUUUAGUUGGACCGGUGACAGGUGAUGCAUGGCCGUCGUCAGCUCGUGUCGUGAGAUGUUGGGUUAAGUCCCGCAACGAGCGCAACCCUUAUGAUUUAGUUGGAUUUUUACUAAACAGACUGCCCUGGUAACAGGGAGGAAGGAGGGGAUGAUGUCAGGUCAGUAUUUCCCUUACACCUUGGGCGACACACGCGCUACAAUGGCCGGUACAAUGGGCAGCUAAGCCGCGAGGUGGAGCAAAUCCCAUCAAAGCCGGUCCCAGUUCGGAUUGCAGGCUGAAACCCGCCUGCAUGAAGCCGGAAUCGCUAGUAACCG